GCUGUGGAGUGGACGGUCCUAUUGUUUCCUAAAACCUCAAAGGAGAGAAGGAAGAGGAGGAAGUGCAGGAGGCAGAGAGUGAAGAAUUUAGCAUCUUCCUUUAGACUCCCUCAUGAAACUUAGAUUUUCUCUCUUUUUUUUAGGUUAAAUAGUUCAGAAUAAUCGACUUUCGUUCCCUGUUGGCUGUAGAUAUUAAUAAGGUGCUUUGAUAGGACAAGGAUGUGACUGCCCUCUCUGUCAUGUCCCUGUGGAUGAUGAGAUGCAGAGGAAGUGUUGCAGUGAAGAGAUUGAGUGUGUGUUUGUGGGAUUUUGUGUGUGUGUGUGUUUUAAGAAGUCUGAGGGGGAGGGAUCAAGUUUUUGAAGCUUAUGCUAAAUCAGGGUCAGUAAGAAGAAGGGGUGGAGCGGGAGGCCAGACAAAGACAGAAGAGGAUGCUGCCACUGGCAUUUAAAUGGGCACAUGAGGGUGAAGUCUAAGAAAAGCGGCAGGGGGAGAGAAAAGAAAGAAGAAGAGGAGGAAAAAACAAGGGGGAGAAAAAGCGUAGAGUUUCUCCGGCAUGGCAGACAUUUUUUUCUGGCUCCUCAAACAGAUGCUGAGGCAGAUGGUGGUGAAUUAACAGAAGAUGGGAGAAGAAGAAAUGAGAAAGCCUAAAACGGGCCCAUGGAGGGCAGACAUUAAAACACUGCAUGUGUUUGUGUGUGUGUAUGUGUUUACGUGUGUGAUUGUGUGUGUGUGUCUGAGCGCACAGGUCCAGGGGAGAGGCUGUUAAACAGUAUCUCAGCUGGGAGGACUAAAGAGGAUGGGUGGAGGAUUCCCAGUCAGAGAUAGAGCUCGCGAUAAUAAUCACAGGCGUGAAAUUACAAUGCUGAUAUUUGUUGCACCCCAGGGUGUGGUGUGGUGGGGCUACCGGAGCUCGGAGGGCCCACAUAUCACUAGAGGCCUGCACUGGCUGACGGUCAUCAAUGUUCAGAAGAGCGGCCCCUUGCCUCCUCACCCCUGCCCAGUGUAGAUCCAAAUCAUUCAGCAGAGACGCGACUUUAAAAACCAUCAGCUGAAGAGACUGUGAGGAAACAGGGGGAUUUACAACUCAGUGUUUCUUUAGUUUUUGUUACAAAAUGAAAAAGAUCAGCAUCAUAUUCACCAACUAAAUUAACAAUGUGCCAGUUAUUCAUGCAGAAUUAGCAAACUACUAACUUUGAAAAGCAGUGUCUGUUUGAAUUUGUGUCUUUUAUUUGUUAGAUGUUAAAUCUGUUUAAGGCUUCUUUAAAAAUUUCUGAUCAGUUAAAACCCACUGAGCAUUUUUUGGUCUAAGAGAACUCUAAGACGUCUUAGUGUGGCCUAGACCGCUGGUCUAAAAUCAGGAUACCACAGGUCUAUAAAUGAAAGUUUUUUAGACGUCUAAAUUGAGACCAAGUUUAGACUAAAUCUAAAUCUGGGCUAUAUCUAUACUACACUUAACAGCUAUCAUAAUUAUUUUGGUUAGGUAAUUGGAGAUCAGUUAUAUAACUCACAGUUGCUUUUUGAAAUAAAUAGUUAUCGAAUAAUAGGUUAAACUGCAACGUCCAAAUUCCAUCUAAAAAUAUACAGAACGUAGACGGUUGAAAUUAGGUCUAAAAAAAAACAAAAACUAGACGUCUAUUGCUCGGUGGGAAUAGACUAGAAUAGAUAGAUUGGGUCUUUUAUACCAAGAGGUGAUUAUAAUCUCUCACUUGGAUGUUUUCCCUCCACCUCAAUAGACACCUUACAAAGUGAUUAAUAUGUGAUUGAUACUGAGGUCUCAAAAAGGAAUUUUUAAUAUUUAGAGGUAAAGACUUGCAAAAAUAACAGAACUACUGCUUUGUCUGCAGCAGGUGCCUAUAUUUUUAUAGACUGAAAGUUGCUUAUAGAAGCUUUAAGGCCUGUUUGACAUCAUGUCCGCGUUAUAAAAAAAAGAUCAUGUCAUUUUUUUCCACCUUACUUCUCAUGAGCAUUUAACUUUGAAGUGGUCAUGUUACUGCCCCAGCUUCAUGUUUAUUUCUCGAUGUAAAAGAUCCUCAUAGUUGGUUUAAGCACUUACUAAUGUUAAAGAAGUUCAGGAAACUAACAUGGCCGAUUAACUGAGCUUAUCUAACUUCUUUAAUGUAGUUUACAACAUUAGUUACAAUACAGACAUUUACAUAAUGUGUUUAAAUACAUAUGUAGUAACCUCACCCCCCCUGUAAUUCUUCCCGUUCAAAAGUAAAAUCAGGAGCUGAGAGGUGGCCGGACCUUCCUCAGCAUGAAUUUCCUCUUGGACAGCGUCCAGGCUCUGACAAGAUAUGACACCACAUUUUCUCCCAUCCAUUCAGUGAAGGAGGGAAAAAGAGGAGCUCAUUUUCAUGUCUAUCAUCUCCUGCUCCUGCCUCCGCCUCUGUGAAGGCCCCCUUACGCCUACCCUAUUUGUGGGGUGAAAGUGAAAAGUAGAUGUGUUGUCAGGGCAAAACUGAUAAUGGCAGUGAGACACAGACUGAUCCCAAUUGCCCUGCUUUCAGCCCCUGCCACCCCAUACACCCCACCACUAAAGGGUCCACUGACAGACGGGACGGGGCACUGUGAGACUGAGUGCUGAGUUGGCAUAAAAAGCGGACCGAAUCGACUUCUUUCUUGGCAUCGUCAAUCCACACAAAUAUUUUAUUGUUGGCUCUGUAACCAUAUGCAUUUCCCUCAUCAGUCAGCAUGAAAAGCUCCGAAUUUAAACAGAAUAGCGUAUAAGGCUGCCUCUUCUCUAUGGACAAAGCAUCUAGGAAUUCAUUGUGAAUAAUUUUUGUUAGAUAUUUUUGGUACAUUAUAUCAGGGUCAUAAAAAUCUGAGCGAAAAUACAUACUCAUUACUAAUAGCAGAUCUAUUCAUGGCGGAUCUUUAUGCGGCAGACAUAGGCCUGGCUUUGCCCAUAAAAAAUGACAGGACAGCUAGUUAUCAACUUUAUGUUUGAUUUGUCUGAGUUAUCACCAAAAGAAGACCUGCAAUCAGAAAUUUACUUUGAUCAGUUGCCAAAUGGUGAAUUAUUGAUGUACUGAAUCACUAGAAUCAGUUCACUAAAAUGAUUCGUUCAAAAGAUUCACUGCUGGUUUUAUGCACUACCUUGUUACAUGCUGUGUCCUAUUGUAUGCAAGUUGUUGUGGUGGUUAGCACCUGUUAGCAGUGAAAGAAAAGGGAGUUUUGUUUGACAAAAAUGAUUCCAGAGAGUGUAGUUCAAUGUGUGAAUCGUGACAGCUCAACUGACGUGAGAAACGAAUGAAUCACUUGAGGAAGUGAUUCGGUUCAGUGCGUUUACUUAAAAGAUUUGGUUCUUUUGAACGAAUCAUUCACGAAACUACCAGUUUGAUCCCCUAAUCAAGUUAUUGAAGUAGCACGCAUGUAAACGUACUGACUGUUGACUUCGAGUUCUCUAAUGUGUCUUAGCUUCCUUGCCUCUUCACUCUUUGGUUUCCCUCUUUUUUUGAUAUUCGCUCUUUAUCUGCUUUGAGACACACUUGAAGCUACAUUCCAAACUUUGACUUGGAUCUGGGACCAGAGCCAGUCGAGCACAGUACCUCCACUCUGCCCCGCUGUGUUUAUUUUCCCCCCAUUUCUAAAGUAGCCAGGUGCCCACAAUGCACUGUGGUUAUCACUUCACAGGCCCAUUUCAGUCAGAUAAUGUUCACCUCUCGGCAGAGGGAGAGAUAACUCAGGGGAUCUAUCAGCAGAAGGAGCAAAGAGUGAAGGCCAUUAUAAUGUCAUCACAAGUUCUCCUGCCCACCCGAAAAGUCCCCGAGAUUUAAUAUUGUCCUCCUGAGAGUGAAAACAGGACAUGAAAGAGAGAAAAAGAGAGGCAUGUUGACAGACAGGAAGUGAGAGGAGGAAAGUACUUGGGAAUAAUGACAUAUUAGGGUAACAUAUUUAUGCAGAAGCAUGUUGCAUUGGAGCAGGUAUAAUGUAUAAGCUGCCUGUUAGAUUUAUUCCACAGAGAAUUGGCUGGUAAAGAUGCACUUUAUCUUCAGACAUGAAAACAGCCCUUCUGCUCCGGCACAAUCCCAGCAGGGGCUUGUGGGAAAUUGCUGUUUUUACAUUUCUGUAUCAUUUUUCCCAGAAGGAAUAUGGAUAACAAAUGAAAUAUUCAGCCCCAUUGUCUGAUUUAUUCCUUUUAUUAUCCACAAAUAUCAGCCCGGCAGUCAAAGGAUGCCUUGCCUCAUUCGUGGAGGGGAAUCUUUCCCACUUGGGGCCUUGACAGCCUAUCAAGUCUGCUCGCAUAAACAGGUCAGGACCGUGUGAGCGUUCCAAUAUGUUAUACUUUAAGCUUUUCACCAUGCACAAUCACUAAACAGAAAUCGAAAAUUACUGAGGAAAAAAAUCCCACAGGUACCUGUUUUUGCGGGCCCCUCUUCAAAUAUCAUUAAACCCACACAGGAGUCUUAAAUAAUGCAAAGCUGUUUUUUUAAAACUCCUGUAUGUUUCUUUUUGAGCUUGAGGUGUGUGAUCCCCCCUGCAGUAAACCCCUCUAUUCUUGUUAUGUCUGUUUGUAAAGCCGCAGAGACAGAUGCCUGGUUACGGCGUCGUCUUAACACAAUAAGCCUCAUCAGAUAUUAGUAAUUGACCAUUAAUGAACUCUCCAUGAUAGCCCACUGAGGAAUACACACAAGGGCCCCCAGGGACCACAGGCCAGCAUGGGGAAAGGGGGCCCCCCAUGGCAUUAACAUACUCCCAAGGCUACAAGAGGCUUUUAAAUGGCCAAUCAAUAAAGAGCAUUAGUUCAUCAUGCCCUCUGCGGGACUCUGGAGGUGUCUGUUGUGUGUCGAGAGGCAGCACAAAAACAGGCAGUCAAGAGGGGCUUUCUCUCAGAAGAUGAAUGUGAAAAACUAAACACGAGCUCAAUUUGUCCCACGUGGAAGUCAUCUCCCAUUAUCUUUUUCCAUCAGGGAACAGAUUCAAAGCUUUUCUGUGCUUAAAAAAAUCAGUUUUUACUGAUGCUGCACAUUCCCAAAGCCCUUCUCCUACAGGACAACAUCAACAUUUUAAGCACUACUGUAAAACCAGGACAAGGGCAUCACAAAUAUCAUGUGACAUUUACUGUACAUAUCCCAUUAGAUAGCUAUGAAUAAAAGCUAGACCUGCUCUGCACGGCACGGUUUUAUUCUUAAUUUUCUCAUUUGUGUUAUAUGGCACAAUGAAAUGGAUAUCAUUACAUAGAAUAGCACUAUCGUACAAAUACCAUGCUGUGUCCUUGAAGGCGGCAUAAUAAAUGGUUCAUCACCGGCAACCAAAUGGCAAGACAAAUUUAUGGGUGCUGAUCUGGCUCAUCAUCAGAGUAAAGUACUCGGUAAAAUUUCAUUGUAACUUCCAGGGAAAUAAAUAAAUUUGAACCCUGACCUUGAAGGGGGGGAAAAAUCUCCUCCCACCCAUCGAGAUGAGAUGAUGGACCCCUCCUCCUCCUCCUCCUCUCCUUCUUUUUCAAUCACCUCCAUACAUCUUACCUUCUUUGGCACUGUGUCCAUACACAGACAGGCUAAAGAUAGGUGUCCCACCUUUACUCGCUUUGUACCGCCACCCCCUCUGGGAUUCCUGUCUCCUCUUUUCUGCAGAAAUAUCAGCCCCCCUGAGGAGCAACCACAGACAGGAAGGGUGCAAAAACACAGGAGAGAAGGGAAAGAGAGAAGGUAGAGGCGAGAAAGGGCAAGAAAUGACAGUUGAGGAAUAUGCAGAAAGUCUCUGUUUAAAUCAAGAUAAAAGACAGAAAUGGAGAAUAAUCGAGGGAACAAACCUCAGGACGCUGGCUCCUAAUGGAAACACAUGGCUGAGGGCUGAGGUGUUGUCAGCAGUCUGCCUCCGCAUGCUGACAUUCCCGCCUGAUAAUCUGGUCCUGCCAUAAAAUUAGACUAGCAAAUACCCCACUGACAGAGAUGCAUGUCCUCUCUCUCUCUCUCUCUUUCUCUCCUUCUCUCUCUCUCUCUUGUGCCACCAUAAAAAAACUCCUGCUGGUGUCUCCUAACGCCACAAACUUCAAUUUAAAUUUACAGCGCCGCAAAAGGAGAAGUGAUAUGCAUUCAAAGAUUUUAAUAACCUAUUAAGUUAUGACUUCAAUUUCAUUUUUAUGAAUAUUUUCCUUGGGGAGUGCUGCCAUCGCUGGAGAAAGACAGAAAUUUAAAAAAGAUAAAUAGUGCCAUUAAUCCAUAACAUUUCUCUCCCAUUAUUCUCGAGAACGUGAAGUUAUUUUUGCUCAGAUUGUCUUAUAAUUAGCUCCUUAUACUUGACUCACAAACCAGAAAAUGACCACGUUGGAAGAAAUGUGAAGUCUGUCAUUUGGCUGGGGAUAAAAUCAUCAUUCGUCUUCAUAAAAUGUCUAUGUGACAAGCAGCAUUUGAAGUUGAUUAGGUUUCAGUAGCUUUAUUAAUAACAACUCCUGGAUCAGAGGGAAGUAAGUCCACUCUGUGAGACGGAGCCGCUGCAAAAGCCAGAAAAUCUCCUUUUAUUUUGAAGGAUCGCUCCACAAUAAAUCCUCAGAUGUCAUUUAUAACCCAACAUUGUGCUUUUACUGCAUAAACUGGUUUUAAGCCACAAAACUAUUAAACAAGUCAUCACAACUCCACUUUGCAGAGGGCGAACGUGGGAGUGCGGCAGAGUAUAAUAGCUUUAAUCUGUCUGUUGUUUGUCUCAUGGGCAUUAAACACCAUCUUGAUAUGAGUGAGACUACAGUGCACACAGGGGGGGUCCUCAUAAUAUUUAAUAGGUCAUCAAAGGGAAUGGGGGGUAGACUGCUGACAUUUGCCUGGAUAGUUAGGAGAAACCCCAGGAGUUGUCACAUGACUCAUUACCAGAGCGCAGUCGACGUGACACUCGGUUGCAUCAUCAUUCAAAGACGGAAAAAUCAUAAUCCAAAAGAUAUCACUAUUCAAUUCACAAUGGAACCAUUAAACUAGCAUGAGAUUUUGAUUCUUGUUUCCACUCCGAAAAUAGAGACUAAUCAGUUAAUAAAACUCCAUUACUGACACAAUGAGUGAGACACCGACUGUGUGGAAAAAACCCAGCGAGUACAGCAGCAGCUUUUCACAGACGGGUAAAGAUACAGCUGGAUUAUAUUUGGACUCUUCCGCUCUCGCUGCAACUCUCCCUGAAG
This 7106-nucleotide long non-coding RNA is filed under the name Xyrichtys novacula (pearly razorfish). Lineage: Eukaryota; Metazoa; Chordata; Actinopteri; Labriformes; Labridae. The record is from RNAcentral.